GUAUAUUAUCAGCACAGCUAAUCAAAUUACCCUGUGCAUUAAAACAGAUUAUUAUUAGAUUAUUCCUCACUUAAUUAGUAGAUUUACGGGAUGUUAUUCAUUCUCUUCAUGCAGUUUCAUCCAUCGUUGUGUAAUUAAGGCUUUUAAAAGUGAUUUUGCUGGUGGGGAGUUAUUUAAUAGACUUGGAUAUAUUGCAAAGGAUGCAGAUGGACCUAAGUGAGAAUGAAAAGUUUGAAAUAGACGAGCAGUUUUCAUUUCAGAAUCAUGCUAGGCUAAAUUUCCAAAAAAGAACGAGAACCACCUGAAGACUCCCUGUAAAGAGACAUCAACCUCACAAUGAGUCUCUUCACUGGUUUUGAUUGCUCCUGCUGACUAUAUCCAGCCUCUUACGAAGACUUCAGAUGACCCAACAACUGUGAAGAGAUGACGCCAAUCCUUGAGAGGACUUCAGAUGAAGCUGACUCUGAAUAAUCAUACAAAACUGCUACGUUUUCCUUGCAUUGUAAUCAGCAUGAUCACAUCAC
RNAcentral lists this long non-coding RNA (524 nucleotides) under Sinocyclocheilus anshuiensis. Its description in RNAcentral is "lncRNA (ENSSANG00000037747.1)". Lineage: Eukaryota; Metazoa; Chordata; Actinopteri; Cypriniformes; Cyprinidae. The record is from RNAcentral.